This is an RNA transcript of Rhea pennata, 1546 nucleotides long. It is a transcript of the gene named thioredoxin like 4B, with no coding region annotated. The record is from RefSeq and is a predicted model, not a curated record. The transcript has 6 exons. NCBI's taxonomy places the organism in Eukaryota, Metazoa, Chordata, Aves, Rheiformes, Rheidae.
CAUGCGCGGGGGACAGAGGCGGGCGGUCCUGGUGCGUAGUGAGCUUGCUGUCGUCGAGGCUCCGCGACUGCCGCGCGAAGGUUCCGACCUUCCCUUCGUCCCCCCCCGCACCCAGCACCCUCCCUGCGGGGCGCUCCCGGGGGCAGGGCCGAGCAAGCGGCACCGGUCUGCACCGGGGCCUCCAGGAGCCGUGCUCUGUCAGGAUGAGUUUUCUGCUGCCCCAGCUUACCUGUAAGAAGGAGGUGGAUCAGGCAAUAAAAAGCGUGGCGGAGAAGGUGCUGGUUCUUCGGUUUGGAAGAGAUGAGGAUCCUGUCUGUCUGCAGCUGGAUGAUAUUCUUGCAAAGACAUCUCAUGACCUAAGUAAAAUGGCAGUCAUUUACCUGGUGGAUGUGAACAAGGUGCCGGUGUACACCCAGUAUUUUGACAUCAGUUAUAUUCCAUCUACCGUCUUUUUCUUCAAUGGACAACACAUGAAAGUUGAUUAUGGGUCUCCAGAUCAUACUAAAUUUGUAGGAAGCUUCAAAACAAAGCAAGACUUUAUAGAUCUGAUUGAAGUGAUUUACCGUGGUGCAAUGCGUGGAAAGCUCAUUGUGAGAAGUCCUAUUGAUCCCAAUAAUAUUCCUAAAUAUGACCUUCUCUACCAAGGCAUUUAAUGGAUUCGUCUGAGAUCAAUGAAGACCAAACCACCAUAGCCAUGGGCAAUGAAAGCCACAUUCUCAGCUGCACUCUUUGAAAUAAAAUGAUCCCAGACAUACAUGAUCCAUGACGUUGUCAUUGGGAUUCAGUACAAUCACUCCCCCGUGGCUUUGAAGGGCCAUUUUGAUGAAUGGUAUUUGUGUUCCAUGGUCCAAGCCCUCACUGAUAAUGGUCCUUUGCCCCCACUGUCCAGCGCGAAAGACUCCACGGUCUUGAAGGAGGACAGUUAGACUAGAGGUAUUUGUUAGUGCUUUCUCACUCAUGAAAAAGAAGCUUCUUGGUUCAUCCUCUGCAGCAUCAAUAGGAAUGUAGACUUUCUGCAGCAUACAAACUCUUUCCAGGAGCUCAUAAACAUACUGGGUAAGCAAAUGUCCCAACACUUGAUAGCGUUUAUGAUUCCUCUCAUGUGCAUUUUUGUAAUAUUUGAAAACAAAGGACUCAUUGGUGUCCAGAUGCCGCAAUUCUCCUUUUAUAUUGAAGUCGUAGUUCAGUUGUUCUUGAUACUCUGAACCCUCUACUAGUUUCCUCAAGCUUAGUUCAUGCUCCAUUUGUAACCACUACAAAUUAAGAGGAUUUAUGUCAAUACAGUGCUAGUCCUUUGUACAACUGCAUAAAGAAAAUAUAUUAGAAGACAGAUUUUAAAAAGGUGACAAAGUAGUCAUAGACACAAACUAUUUUUUGGUGGUCUGUAGUAAACCAGCUGUUUGUAAAGGCUGUCACACAUUCUGAUUGCUAAAUUACAAUAGCAAUACAUUAAUACAGAUCCUUCCAAUUAUUACUUUAUCCCUCUCAGUGCUUGCCACAUGGACGUAACAGAAUGAAUCACAGAAUAAACCAGACACUGUUUGAA